UGGGGAAUAUUGCACAAUGGGGGAAACCCUGAUGCAGCGACGCCGCGUGAACGAAGCAGGUAUUCGUAUCGUAAAGUUCUGUCCUAUGGGAAGAUAAUGACAGUACCAUAGAAGAAAGCUCCGGCUAAAUACGUGCCAGCAGCCGCGGUAAUACGUAUGGAGCGAGCGUUGUCCGGAAUUAUUGGGCGUAAAGGGUACGCAGGCGGGUUAAUAAGUCGAAUGUUAAAGAUCGGGGCUCAACCCCGCAAAGCAUUGGAAACUGAUAAACUUGAGUAGUGGAGAGGAAAGUGGAAUUCCUAGUGUAGUGGUGAAAUACGUAGAUAUUAGGAGGAAUACCAGUAGCGAAGGCGACUUUCUGGACACAAACUGACGCUGAGGUACGAAAGCGUAGGGAGCAAACAGG
Molecule: ribosomal RNA, 403 nt
Filed under: bacterium
Lineage: Bacteria
Description: partial 16S ribosomal RNA
Rfam family: Bacterial small subunit ribosomal RNA
Source: RNAcentral